CUUGGCGUUCUCCAGGAUCUCCUUGUACAUGGUGGAGUAACAACGGUCGGGCACCAUGGCGAUACAGUCCUGAAGUUUGUCGUCGUUGUUCCACAUCUUGCCGCCGUCGCGGACCACGUUGGGCAUGGAGGCGUCGACGAUGAUGUUGUUGGGAACGUGCAGG
This 163-nucleotide ribosomal RNA is filed under the name uncultured eukaryote. RNAcentral describes it as "partial small subunit ribosomal RNA". The record is from RNAcentral.